This 284-nucleotide ribosomal RNA is filed under the name uncultured bacterium. RNAcentral's name for it is "partial 16S ribosomal RNA". It matches the Rfam family "Bacterial small subunit ribosomal RNA", at positions 796 to 1200 of the family's 1533-position model. The record is from RNAcentral.
CACGCUGUAAACGUUGGGCGCUAGGUGUCGGGGACCUUCCACGUCCUCGGUGCCCCAGCUAACGCAUUAAGCGCCCCGCCUGGGGAGUACGGCCGCAAGGCUAAAACUCAAAGGAAUUGACGGGGGCCCCCACAAGCGGCGGAGCAUGUGGCUUAAUUCGACGCAACGCGAACAACCUUACCUGGGUUUGACAUGCAGGGAAAUCCCAUACAGAUACGGGGUACUUGUCGCCGGCGCCCCCCUAUGAGUCCCCCUUGUUCACGCUGGCAACAUAGGACAGGGGU